GAUCCAGUGGAGACGCAGUGGGGCCUGUAGCUCAGAGGAUUAGAGCACGUGGCUACGAACCACGGUGUCGGGGGUUCGAAUCCCUCCUCGCCCAC
RNAcentral lists this transfer RNA (95 nucleotides) under Helianthus annuus (common sunflower). RNAcentral describes it as "sRNA HanXRQr2_Chr05g0205841". The stretch from base 21 to 94 matches the Rfam family "tRNA". From Rfam's summary of the family: Transfer RNA (tRNA) molecules are approximately 80 nucleotides in length. Their secondary structure includes four short double-helical elements and three loops (D, anti-codon, and T loops). Further hydrogen bonds mediate the characteristic L-shaped molecular structure. tRNAs have two regions of fundamental functional importance: the anti-codon, which is responsible for specific mRNA codon recognition, and the 3' end, to which the tRNAs corresponding amino acid is attached (by aminoacyl-tRNA synthetases). tRNAs cope with the degeneracy of the genetic code in two manners: having more than one tRNA (with a specific anti-codon) for a particular amino acid; and 'wobble' base-pairing, i.e. permitting non-standard base-pairing at the 3rd anti-codon position. The record is from RNAcentral. Lineage: Eukaryota; Viridiplantae; Streptophyta; Magnoliopsida; Asterales; Asteraceae. RNAcentral also lists the same sequence under 2 other names.